CAGUCGCCGCGGUAAUGCGUAGGUGGCAAGCGUUGUCCGGAAUUAUUGGGCGUAAAGGGCUCGCAGGCGGUUUCUUAAGUCUGAUGUGAAAGCCCCCGGCUCAGCCGGGGAGGGUCAUUGGAAACUGGGAAACUUGAGUGCAGAAGAGGAGAGUGGAAUUCCACGUGUAGCGGCGAAAUGCGUAGAGAUGUGGAGGAACACCAGUGGCGAAGGCGACUCUCUGGUCUGUAACUGACGCUGAGGAGCGAAAGCGUGGGGAGCGAACAGGAUUAGAUACCCCCGUAGUCCCUGUCUCUUAUAC
This 301-nucleotide ribosomal RNA is filed under the name uncultured bacterium. RNAcentral describes it as "partial 16S ribosomal RNA". It matches the Rfam family "Bacterial small subunit ribosomal RNA", at positions 509 to 807 of the family's 1533-position model. The record is from RNAcentral.